AUGACCAUCGCCGAGACCCGUCGUCGUCGACGCGUCAGAUGCCACACCACUCCACCUUCGCGAACACCACCUGCUACCGCUGGUCCCAUCCCCUUCGCCUACAAGUCCUCCAAUCGAGCACCCGAACGUCCCAGGCAGCGUCUCCAAGAAGGACACAACACAUGUUGUGCCGCCGCCACCCAAUCCAAGGGGAUUUUGUGUCUUCACCCGGGCAUGGGGCGUGGUGGAGGGGAGGACGUCGACGACGCCCGCAAGAAAGAAAGGGGCGGCCGCGGUCCAGAGUUUCCUCCGGUCCGACGCCACCUCUACAAACUCCCGCCAACGCAUCGGGGCUGA
This 336-nucleotide ribosomal RNA is filed under the name Triticum aestivum (bread wheat). RNAcentral's name for it is "partial small subunit ribosomal RNA". The record is from RNAcentral. Lineage: Eukaryota; Viridiplantae; Streptophyta; Magnoliopsida; Poales; Poaceae.